AUAAUUCAUGGGUAUGAUAACUCAUAGCCGUUGAUUUAAAAUCUUAGUGUGGAUUAUUUUUCACCUUCUCCAUCACAGUCUGGUUUGAUAUCUUAAUUUCUUCAACCUCUUUUCUCUCCCCCUUAUACAGGUGUGGUUUUUUACUUUCUUCUUCUGACUUUCAACUUCAUGCUUGUGAGUUUUUCGGACUUGUCUCCCCAAGGAAUGCCAAUGGUUUAUUUGAUGUCUCAAGUAGUUACGAUCAACUUUUUCCCCCGAUAGUACAAGAUAGCAAAAAAAGAGGCAAAAAAGACAGUUAGUCAAGCAAGAGCACAGGACUUUGAAAAGUUAUAUGAGAAACU
This 341-nucleotide unclassified non-coding RNA is filed under the name Hevea brasiliensis (rubber tree). The record is from RNAcentral. Lineage: Eukaryota; Viridiplantae; Streptophyta; Magnoliopsida; Malpighiales; Euphorbiaceae.